GGGGGUAUAAUUCAGUGGUAGAGCAUUCGACUGCAGAUCGAGAGGUCCCCGGUUCGAACCGGAUGCUCCCU
Trichonephila inaurata madagascariensis is the source of this 71-nucleotide non-coding RNA. NCBI's taxonomy places the organism in Eukaryota, Metazoa, Arthropoda, Arachnida, Araneae, Nephilidae. The record is from the annotation of a GenBank genome assembly.